GGAGGUUGGCGGUGGACGAGUUUCUCGCCAACCCGGUCAGAUCCGGAAGGAAGCAGCCGUAACGAGCCCGACUCGGGUCUCUGUUCCAGCCUCCCAC
This 97-nucleotide signal recognition particle RNA is filed under the name Rhodobiaceae bacterium. Its description in RNAcentral is "signal recognition particle sRNA small type". It matches the Rfam family "Bacterial small signal recognition particle RNA". Rfam says of the family: The signal recognition particle (SRP) is a universally conserved ribonucleoprotein involved in the co-translational targeting of proteins to membranes. Lineage: Bacteria; Pseudomonadati; Pseudomonadota; Alphaproteobacteria; Hyphomicrobiales; Rhodobiaceae. The record is from RNAcentral.